UACGUAGGUGACAAGCGUUGUCCGGAUUUACUGGGCGUAAAGAGCGCGCAGGCGGUCGUUCAAGUCGAGUGUGAAAGCCCCCGGCUCAACUGGGGAGGGCCAUUCGAUACUGAUCGACUCGAAGGCAGGAGAGGGUAGUGGAAUUCCCGGUGUAGUGGUGAAAUGCAUAGAUAUCGGGAGGAACACCAGUGGCGAAGGCGACUACCUGGCCUGUUCUUGACGCUGAGGCGCGAAAGCUAGGGGAGCAAACGGG
RNAcentral lists this ribosomal RNA (253 nucleotides) under uncultured bacterium. RNAcentral's name for it is "partial 16S ribosomal RNA". It matches the Rfam family "Bacterial small subunit ribosomal RNA", at positions 524 to 776 of the family's 1533-position model. The record is from RNAcentral.